Molecule: unclassified non-coding RNA, 242 nt
Filed under: uncultured fungus
Lineage: Eukaryota; Fungi
Description: sequence contains ITS2
Source: RNAcentral
AACGCACAUUGCGCCCGCCAGCAUUCUGGCGGGCAUGCCUGUUCGAGCGUCAUUUCAACCCUCAGGCCCUGCCUGGUGUUGGAGGACUGCGCAUGCAGCCUCCCAAAGACAGCGGCGGCGGCGCCCCAAAACCGAACGCAGUAGUUACUUCUCGUUCUGGGUCUGGGUCGUUGUCCUGCCGGAAAACCCCCCUCUUUUACAUGGUUGACCUCGAAUCAGGUAGGAAUACCCGCUGAACUUAA